RNAcentral lists this long non-coding RNA (3190 nucleotides) under Citrus sinensis (sweet orange). RNAcentral describes it as "long non-coding RNA (CSIN_LNC002637)". The record is from RNAcentral. Lineage: Eukaryota; Viridiplantae; Streptophyta; Magnoliopsida; Sapindales; Rutaceae.
GUUCGCUUAAGCUUAUGUAAAACCCUAAAAUCUAAUUUUUUAAACUAUUAUCUCCCCUCAAAUAUUAUAUACUCUCUACUUCUGUAAUCGUGGAAUAAAUUAAUUUGCAAUACUCAAUAGAGGAUGAAGAAGAAGUAAGCUUAAAGGUUUUUUUUUUCUCUAAUUUUCGAACUCUAUUUAUCGUCAACACCCAAAUAAAUUUAUAUUUCUAACAAAUUUUAGGCUGAAAAGCCUUCUAAUCAAGGAAACAACGUCAGGAAAAAAAAAUGGACAUUAUAGAUGAUUUUGGUUGUGUUUUUACCACUGAUAUGAUAUAUAGCUAAUUUUCACUAUUGAGUUUUUUAUUAUUUAUUAUUAAUAUUAUUUUAUACUUUCUAAUUAGAUAUACUAUAAUUGUGUUUGAUUAGGUUUUUAAUAGCAGGAAAGAAUCAAUUGAGUGGAUGCGAAAUGCUGGCAAGCGAAAUGGAUAUGUUAUUUUAAUUAAAAAAAUCAGAUGUAAGUGCACAUGGUAGAAAUCUAAAAUAAUUUUUGCUUAUGAAAGAAAUGGUGCUUACAGGUGUGUUUCUAGUCAAGGUAAGAAGCCAAGACGUCCUAAAGCAACUUGAACAAAAAAAAUGCAAUUGUUCAUUCAUAUUAAAAGGGCAAAAUUUGGCAAAUGAUAGUCGCUGGGUUUUGAAAGUGAUGUGUGCAGUACAUAACCAUCUUGAGGGGCACUCAUAUGCAGGUCGGCUUAUUGAAAAGGAGGACAACCUAUUGAUUGAUAUGUAAUGCAAGACCAAAGGACAUACUAUAGUCUAUAUAUGAGAAACCAAAGAGAUAUACGUAGUGCUACUACUAUGAGGUCUAUUUACAAUGCAAGAUAUAGAUACAAAGUUAAAUAACUAGCUGGCAGGUCAAACACGUAACUACUCAUGAGCAAAUUGACCGAGCAUAACUACAUUGAGUGGUAUCAAAGUAAUGCUGAUAUAGACAGUGUUAGAGACUUAUUUUAGGCUCAUCCUUUUACUGUUGAUCUAUUACGGGCAUUUCCACGUGUGGUAAUUACAGAUUGCACAUAUAAGACCAACAAGUAUGAUUUUCCAUUACUAGAAGAUGUUGGUGGCACCUCGAUUGAGAUAACAUUUUCAGUAUGUCUUGCAUAUAUUGAACAAGAGUGGGAGAAUAAAUAGAGAGAUACCUUAAUAAAUGCUAUUCAAAAUGUUUUCCUAAAUGCAACUCAUCUUCUUUGUAGAUGGCAUAAUUCAAAAGAUCAUUAUAUGCAACACCUACGAGUUUUGAGGGCGAAUAUGUGAAAAAUGCAUAGCUGGAUGAGUGCAAGGAAAAAUUUAUUGUAGCUUGGGCCGACCUAGUAAUGCAUUUAGGAAACAUGACCUCAAAUAGGUAAAUCACUAUAAAAUAUUCUCAUAUUUAAUUUUAUUAUUGAAAAAAUAACUAAAUUGUUUUGUUUUUUCUUUAUAGGGCUAAGACAUCUCAUUUAGUAUUAAAGGCAACUACAAUUAUUGUGAGGAACUUUUGAGACGUCAUGGACUAAAAUCUAUGUUUCAGUAGAAUUGCAACAUACGGAGAUUAAAGGUUCGUCAAAGAAAAGUUCGACAACAAUGCAACAUGAUUUCAAACCUUCAAUAUUUAAGGAAUUGAGAGGAUUUAUUUUGUGAAAUGCACUCAACAUGAUGGUUUGUAAGUCUAAACAAGCUAAUUAUAGUGGUCUAGAUCCAUUAGCUUUUGGAUGUGUAGUUUGCCACACACAUAGAAUUCCAUGUGCACAUGAGAUUGCGGGGUAUAAGUGUGAAGGAAGAUCUAUUUCUUUGUCUUUUACACAUCCAUAUUAGAAGAAACUAGACUUAAUACCAACUACUAAAGUUGAAACUACUGAGUUAAGUUGAGAUAAAGAUGAUUUUGAAAUGUUUUAAUAAUAAUGAUUACACUAGAAAUUUAGAGAUUUUGAAGAAGUUGAAAGAACUAGUAGAUGGAACAUCAACUUUUCUUAUUGAGCUAGAAGUUAAAGCUAAAACUCAAGGUCAACAUUCUCCAAAAGCAGAUACUUCUACACAUUAAGAUCCAUCCAAAUUUGAACAUAUAUUAUCUACACAAAAUUUUCAUUCUCCAUACAUUUUAUCUUCAAGUAAGAUUUCUAUACAAUCUAAAGGGCGACCAAAAAAAAAAAGAAGAUGCAUCAAUCUCAAAUUCAUAAGCAUAUUUCUUUCUAAGAUUUCUAUACAAUCUAAAGGGCGACCUACAUUUUAUCUUCAAGUAAGAUUUCUAUACAAUCUAAAGGGCGACCAAAAAAAAAAAGAAGAUGCAUCAAUCUCAAAUUCAUAAGCAUAUUUCUUUCAUUGAUUCAUUUCCACAAGGAUUGAGGCUAUAUAUUCAUCAUGUUAAAGAUGUUGCUGCUGACAGUAAUUGUGGUUUUCAUGUUGUGGUUAAUUUGAUUGGUUUUAGUGAGGAUAAUUGGAUGCAAGUCAGGAGGGACUUAAUUGAUGAAUUACAAAGCCACUUUGAUAACUAUACCUAAAUAUGUAAGUAUACAGGAGAUCAGAUGAGUUUCUACAAACACGUUCAUAUUUGGAAGCAAUCCAUUAGAUGACUAUUGGAUGACUUUUCCUAAAGCAAGAUAUCUUAUUACUUUUAAUUAUAAUGUUAUGCUAAUAUUCAUAUCUCAAAUUCAAUGUCUUACUUUUUUUCUACUCAUAUCAACUCCAUUACCACAACCCUCUCAAAAGAUUAUUGCAAUUGGAUUUAUUAACAACAGUCACUUCAUACAAGUAUUUUUUUUAGACUUUUUGUUAACAAUUAUUAUUUCAUACCACGACCCUCUAAAAAGGGAAAAAAGAGAUUUUUUUAACAAUUGUUAACCAUGAUUUUUUUAAUAUUUUACUUUUUUACUGAAGGUAUUCAUGAAUCCAGGUUCACCAAUGCCAGUGAUAACAACUGGUUAGUUAAAAUAUCAUGCUUCUACAGUAGAAGGAUGGGCAACUCUAUAUGACAAGAACAUUAUUGCUUUUAAAGAUUUAUCACUGAAUGUUGCAAGCAAGGAGACAAUUGGCUUGGAUAAUUAAUAAGUGUUUCCAUUAUUCAAUUUUUUUUUUCAAAUGAUUUGGUCAAGUUAUUAUGUAAUAAGUAUUUAAGCUUAUAUACUAUUUAGAACAACUUUAAUGUCUCAUACGAUGUUGAGAUUUUAUUUAUAACAACC